GACGAACGCUGGCGGCGUGCUUAACACAUGCAAGUCGAACGGAAAGGCCUGCUUUCCCUUGUGGAUUGCGGGUACUCGAGUGGCGAACGGGUGAGUAACACGUGAUUGAUCUGCCCCCAACUUGGGUAUAAGCCUGGGAAACUGGUUCUAAUUCCCGUUAGAACUCCAGGGUGGGGCCUGUGGUGGAAAACGAUUUCCUGGUGUUUGGGGAUGAGCUCGCGGCCUAUCAGCUUGUUGGUGGGGUAAUGGCCUACCAAGCCGGCGACGGGUAGCCGGCCUGGGAGGGGGGACGGCCACAUUGGGACUGGGAUAAGGCCCAGACUCCUACGGGAGGCAGCAGCGGGGAAUAUUGGACAAUGGGCGGAAGCCUGAUGCAGCGACGCCGCGUGGGGGAUGACGGCCUUCGGGUUGUAAACUCCUUUCGACCGCGAGGAAGCCACCUGGUUGGAAGGGUGGUGACGGUAGUGGUAGAAGAAGCACCGGCUAACUACGUG
Molecule: ribosomal RNA, 494 nt
Filed under: uncultured bacterium
Lineage: Bacteria
Description: partial 16S ribosomal RNA
Rfam family: Bacterial small subunit ribosomal RNA
Source: RNAcentral